RNAcentral lists this transfer RNA (96 nucleotides) under Bradyrhizobium barranii subsp. apii. RNAcentral's name for it is "Bradyrhizobium sp. 38S5 tRNA-Thr". Lineage: Bacteria; Pseudomonadati; Pseudomonadota; Alphaproteobacteria; Hyphomicrobiales; Nitrobacteraceae. The record is from RNAcentral.
GCCGGUUGAUGCUCUUCCCUCAGCUUGCCGAGGUCAGCGGUCAAGCUUCGUAGAUCGCCUUGAAGGUCGGGGGUUCAAUCCCCUCAGCCGGCACCA